UAGUCUAGCGGUUAGGAUUCCUGGCUUUCACCCAGGUGGCCCGGGUUCGACUCCCAG
This 57-nucleotide transfer RNA is filed under the name Trichobilharzia regenti. It matches the Rfam family "tRNA", at positions 8 to 63 of the family's 71-position model. From Rfam's summary of the family: Transfer RNA (tRNA) molecules are approximately 80 nucleotides in length. Their secondary structure includes four short double-helical elements and three loops (D, anti-codon, and T loops). The record is from Rfam by way of RNAcentral. Lineage: Eukaryota; Metazoa; Platyhelminthes; Trematoda; Strigeidida; Schistosomatidae.